GACAGAGGUCCCGAGCGUUAGGCGGAAUCACUGGGCUUAAAGCGUGUGUAGGCGGAUUCCUAAGUACCUUGUGAAAUCCCACGGCUCACCCGUGGAACUGCUUGGUAUACUGGGUGUCUUGAGCCACUUAGGGGCUACCGGAACAAAUGGUGGAGCGGUGAAAUGCGUAGAUAUCAUUUGGAACGCCAAUGGUGAAAACAGGUAGCUGGGAGUGUGCUGACGCUGAGACACGAAAGCCAGGGGAGCAAACGGG
This 253-nucleotide ribosomal RNA is filed under the name uncultured bacterium. Its description in RNAcentral is "partial 16S ribosomal RNA". It matches the Rfam family "Bacterial small subunit ribosomal RNA", at positions 524 to 776 of the family's 1533-position model. The record is from RNAcentral.